ACAUAAGAUGCUCAAUAGAUGUUGAGUUGAAGUUGAAAAUUUAAAGUACUUUACAAAUGUGGGGGUUAUCCCAAGACGCAGCCCCCAAGCCAGCAGAGCUCCUGAGACGCCUGUGGCCAGGACUGAGGGGAGGGAUGGGAACCAGGCCUUUUGGCAAACAAGGCCUGAGUGUUGCUCUUGACCUGGCCCUGGUCUAGGGCUGUCGCUAGAGAUGGAGGCCAGUCCCUACCUUGAGGGGCCACUGUCUGGUAGGCCCUGCUGGCUCCAUCGGGGGGGCUCAGAGGAUAACCCCUCACUGGGGGGUGCUCACCAUUGCUGCCUGGGUCACUCACAGGAAUCUUACUCCAGACCAACAGCAGGUCACCUGGCUGGCACCGGAAGCCCUAGGAUCUGGCCACGGUGGGGCAGGGUACCACCAAGAUCCUUCAGUCUGAGCUCAGCGAGUGUCCCAUCUCCACACUUACUGUGCACCCGGAUCACGGCCUCCAGAGAGCGGAUGGCAUUGAGGUUGGGUUUCUGUUUCCAGCCUUCUUCUGAAAGGGGAUCCACCUAUAGAAAACAGUACAUCAGCCACCAGUCUCUCAGGGACCCACAGGCCCAGCUCACUCCCACCCCAGGGGCCCCAGCCUUCUAGCCACAAGCACACUCUACCUAGGCCAGGAGAUGCUGCCUGGACCUAACUUGGAACAGAGGCUUCCGCUUCGCCUACCUUGUUUCAGGCUUGGCCACUCCCACCCUGUCCCAUCCCAUCUGCCUGCUCCUUGGGUAGUCCUGAGAGCCGGGCUUACCUGCCUGACAGAAGCAUGGAUGGGGGAGGGAGACGGCUCACCCUGUUACCCAGAAGAGCAGCCACACAGGCCUCAGAGGCGUCACAGAUGGCUGUGAGGUCAUGGCCACCCUCCAAGGCCAGCACCACUGCGCCUCCUGCCAGGUUCAUCAGUUGCUGCGUCAUGUAUCCAAAACCUAGAGGUUGGGAGGGGAGAAAUGGGAGGGGCGGGAGUGGAGAGGUGACCCUGUUCUCUACCCCUGUGGCUUCCCUGCUUGCUUCCUCCCUAAUAAAGAAUGACUCACAUGUAUCAA
This is a long non-coding RNA of Homo sapiens (human), 1080 nucleotides long. NCBI's taxonomy places the organism in Eukaryota, Metazoa, Chordata, Mammalia, Primates, Hominidae. The record is from Ensembl.